CAACCCCUGUCACUGAAUACAUUACGUAUAUGAAGUUGUUUAUCAACAACAGCCCAGAUGCGUGUUGCCUUUCAAAGUACCCGGAGUAUAUAUAUUGAAAAACUGCUGAAUCCUGCUUUCCUAUACGAGUGAAUAAGCUGAACAGCCAGUGUGUAUAACAUGGACCAACGGUGCCAGCUGUCUUCUCGGGGUAUGAGGAAACCACCCAUUUCAACAUCAGCCUUGCUAUGUGUCCUGUGUGUUGGCUUAGCGCUGAACCUUUGUCCUAUCAUCGACUUGUUUACCACCCCAAACAGCCCUGACUUGUGUUUCAUUAAUUGGUAUAAGCUGCUGUACACUGGAUACUGUUUCCUGAACCUCAUUGUUGCUCUGUUGAGAAGCUCUGCCCGGAGGUCUGUGCUGAGAUAUGGCGGUAGGAGGGUGUUCCUGUGUGGCGUGUUCAUCGUCGUGUCAAGUUAUAUCUUUGUUACGGUUGUUUUGGACAGAUCAGCUGUAUGGACGUGGAACACUUUUGAAUCCAAUUUCAUCAAGAGACUGGAGAGCAACGUCGUGGGUAUAUUCGAAACUAGGCCUGACUUUGUUGUUCGUGAGCUCCGCACUCUAGAACCCAAGAAACUCGAGCGACAAGCCAGGUAUGAAGGUGAAGAUGUAAGACUCGUGUGUGAGGACAUCUUGAUUUUCCAUGGAAGAGUUACAUUUCACGAGAAACAGGUCAUCUGGAAGCAUAAUAAACAAAGAAUUGAAUCGUCAUCCCGAUACCACAUCACCUCGUCGUUUGACGAAAUACCGGAAAAUGACACUAUCAGAACAUUGUUGAGUCGAUUUGAUAUGGACCUUUAUUUAUAUCGUGUUGAAUCAAAGCUCGAAAUUUUUCUAAUUAAUAACGAUGAUUUUGGAAAAUUUUCCUGUCAUGUUGCUAAAAACGCUAUUGCUAUAAAAUCGCAGGACAGUAAAUCAGGAAAUGACUCAAAACAGACCCGAACGGCAACAAAAGAAAAAGUCAAAAAUAAAGUCAGAGAAUGUCCCAAUACACGCGAGGGACAUAACCGAUGUCCCUGUCUUUCUCAGGAUUGGGCUCACAAGAACUUCAGUGUUUUACCAUAUGAGUGGACUGCAGAGUUCAUCUUGGCGAAGAUCAAACCUACGAGAAGAACGGUGUCUGUUCCAAUAGGUGGUAUUGUUUCUACGAGUGCGUCUUAUGUGAAUCUGGAUGACACGCCCGGACUCAUUGAAUUUGAUCAUGAAAUCAACGGAAGGUCCUUCAUUAAAACAUGCGAGGGCCUUGAUCAGUCAUGCUCCAUAUUUGUGUUCCUGUACUGGUUCCUGUGGCAUGAUGGUGGCCAUUACUCAAACAUUCCUGCCUUCUAUCAACAAUUGCUGAUGGUGGAGGGCGUUGGCGGCACAAGCUGGCAAUGUGUUUGUCCUAACACAUACGGAGUCCACAAAUUCGUCUUCUAUCGCCAGUUCUACAAUACGACCCUUGGAACAUACCAAGUUAGUGAUGUGGAAUAUCCCGACACUGUAGAACUUGUUCCCGAGAAGCCCCAUCUCUUGGACUUGUAUUACAAUGGCUCAAAGAAACUUCUUCCGUUGCCAAAGUCGUCUUGCUGGGAGGAUGUUGAUAAACAAGAGUUUCUUGAAAUGUGGCUGGAGGAUCUAUCAUGUCACUUCUUUUACAAAGAAAAGCAGAUAUUCCUCUUGGGACUAUUCUUUUGUAUAGGACUGGCUUGGAUUUUGACCAGAACGAUAUUGACAUGGGUGACCAAUCCAAUCAUCAACGUGAUACUUGGGAGGAAACGAGUCAACAUCCAACCAAUCCAAGGAAGUGGUACACUGGCAGGACUUGCGCCAGCAGACAACACUGUUUUUAAAUACGACCUCUACAUUUCGUAUGCAGAUGAACAGAUGGCAAUGGCGACUGAAAUCGCCCAAGCUCUCACCUCGCGGGGUUUGAGAGUGUGUUUUCGUGACAAUGAUGUUCUCGGAAAUGAAAUUGUUAACCAGGCUGUUUCAAGGCUGAUUGGGGAGAGCUGGAAAUUUCUCGUCAUUGUCUCACAAGAAUACGUCGACAGUGGACUUCAGAAUAAUUUUGAAAUACACCUUAUCAUACAGAGAUUCCACGACGGUUAUAUCAGCAACAGAAAUGUAUCCCUCUUACCAUUGCAACCAAACUUGAUUUCCGAUGUCUUUGACAAUUUCGUUAUUCUCAACCAGUAUGAAAACAGUGAGGAUCGUGUAGAGGAAAUAAUGUUAUGGCACGGACCGUCACUAUUUCAAAACGAACCAUAUACCGCUGUCCCUAUUAAUAUAAGAGGCCAUGAUUGCGGUUUUACAUCAACCUCGGUCUACUGCGUCAGCAGUGUUUGCUUUUACUUGUUGUUUCGUAUACUUAUUACAUGUGGGGUCUGUUUGGUAGAAUACUUUCUUCUGAUGGUGUCAUUCCACAGCAGCAAUGCAAUAGUUUUCUGAAAAGUAUUUGGGACUUGUCAUAUAUGAAUUACUGCUUAGGUUUAGAAGUGGGGGAAACAAAGUCUUCUGGAGAUAUGGAUGCAUUCGUCAGCACUCUGUAAAUAAUCGUGUCCGGUACAGACAAUCCAGUGGUUGAAGUCAUGAACAUCGAGCCAAGCAAUUAUAGGAUACGAUGACAUGCAUCAACCAAGUCAGCGAGCCUGACCACCCGAUUCCGUGAGUCUCCUCUUACGGCAAGGAAAGUCGCCUCUUAUGGCAAACAUGGGUUUGCUGAAGACCUAUUCUCUACCCGGAUCUUCACGAACACGUGAAGUGAUUACAAUGACACGUGUUUCCACAAUGUGGCUCAUAUGGCACAAUAUAUUAAUAUGUAUUAUUUGCCUUUAUAAGACAGUAUGUAUCCUUGUAGAAGACGAAUUCCAUGUUCUUAUGAUUUGUGACCAAUAUUCUAGAGCAAGAAGAAACUCUUUUCCCAAGCGUCUCGUUACCCCUCCCUCUAUUGAGAAUUUAUAAGACUUAUGUCAGCUGAAAACGAAGAAAUUAUAAAAGGCUUAGGUAAGUUUCUCUCCCCAAGUCAUGAACAUCGAAAGGAAACAGUGUGGAACGGUAAAUCAUUAUUAAAUCUACCCAGUAUGCAAAUAUAUAUAUACAGUAUAUUUCCAUUGUAUUAUGGGCCGGUGGCCUGAAGUACCGAAUAAAUUUGUCUGUCUGUCUGUCUGUCUGUCUGUCUGUCUGUAUGCUUGGUUAAUAAACGUAUCAAGAUAGA
Molecule: unclassified non-coding RNA, 3235 nt
Filed under: Haliotis rufescens (red abalone)
Lineage: Eukaryota; Metazoa; Mollusca; Gastropoda; Lepetellida; Haliotidae
Description: uncharacterized LOC124135454, transcript variant X1
Source: RNAcentral